RNAcentral lists this transfer RNA (73 nucleotides) under Frigoribacterium sp. CFBP 8759. RNAcentral describes it as "tRNA-Arg". It matches the Rfam family "tRNA". Rfam says of the family: Transfer RNA (tRNA) molecules are approximately 80 nucleotides in length. Their secondary structure includes four short double-helical elements and three loops (D, anti-codon, and T loops). Further hydrogen bonds mediate the characteristic L-shaped molecular structure. tRNAs have two regions of fundamental functional importance: the anti-codon, which is responsible for specific mRNA codon recognition, and the 3' end, to which the tRNAs corresponding amino acid is attached (by aminoacyl-tRNA synthetases). tRNAs cope with the degeneracy of the genetic code in two manners: having more than one tRNA (with a specific anti-codon) for a particular amino acid; and 'wobble' base-pairing, i.e. permitting non-standard base-pairing at the 3rd anti-codon position. Lineage: Bacteria; Bacillati; Actinomycetota; Actinomycetes; Micrococcales; Microbacteriaceae. The record is from RNAcentral.
CCCGGUGUAGCUCAGAGGACAGGGCAGCGGGUUUCUACUCUGCAAGUCGGUGGUUCGAAUCCACUCACCGGGA